UUAAUAUUUCACAAUUUUAUGGUACAGGGUGUUUACUAUUAUUUCUAUCAAAUAUUCAGGAACAAAGCCGAAGCAGCUGCACUAAACCAAAAGAAAAUGGGCAUCAGUGAUGGAUCUGUUGGGAUGCUCUCCUCACUUCUUGUUGCUGCAUUAUCUGGGUGUGUUAACGUGCUCUUGACAAAUCCCAUAUGGGUAGUUGUUACCAGAAUGCAG
Molecule: non-coding RNA, 213 nt
Organism: Cajanus cajan (pigeon pea)
Lineage: Eukaryota; Viridiplantae; Streptophyta; Magnoliopsida; Fabales; Fabaceae
Source: RefSeq, a predicted model, not a curated record